This 254-nucleotide ribosomal RNA is filed under the name uncultured bacterium. Its description in RNAcentral is "partial 16S ribosomal RNA". It matches the Rfam family "Bacterial small subunit ribosomal RNA", at positions 524 to 776 of the family's 1533-position model. The record is from RNAcentral.
GACGUAGGGCGCGAGCGUUGUCCGGAUUUACUGGGCGUAAAGGGCGCGUAGGCGGUCAGCACAAGUCAGUUGUGAAAUCUCCGGGCUUAACUCGGAAAGGUCAACUGAUACUGUGCGACUAGAGUGCGGAAGGGGCAACUGGAAUUCUCGGUGUAGCGGUGAAAUGCGUAGAUAUCGAGAGGAACACCUGCGGCGAAGGCGGGUUGCUGGGCCGACACUGACGCUGAUGCGCGAAAGCCAGGGGAGCGAACGGG